Molecule: long non-coding RNA, 1893 nt
Filed under: Homo sapiens (human)
Lineage: Eukaryota; Metazoa; Chordata; Mammalia; Primates; Hominidae
Description: non-protein coding lnc-RIMKLB-1:10
Source: RNAcentral
GGGAAUUUGAAUUGGAAUUUACUUCCAGCUGCACUCAUGCAAGAAUUUGUGAUGUAUACUAAAAAAUAAAAAAAGGCUCAUUCAGGAGAGCCUUGUACUCAGCAAGAGUGGCUAACAUUAGAGCAUACAGACUAUGUGAUUGUAUAAGGCAUGGAGAGUUAAACAACCUCCAGUCAGCUGCCUGUUUGAAUACCACUGACUUGUUAAGAAUGAUCUUGCUUUUAGAUUUUACCAUAUUCAAACUUAUUAGGUGAGCCUUAUAUAGCAUAUAUACCUGGCUGCUAUUGUGGGGUUUGGGAACAUGAGGGGUGGGGUGAACUGUUGUUGUUUUAGGUUUCAGUCAGACAGACAUCCCUGUGCCUCAGUUCCCAGAAGCACAGCAGGCCUCUAGGAGCAUCCGUGGGAACGGCGCAGUCCUGACAUCACCAACUCUCCUGCUCAGGCUCAUCCCAUAUACAGAGGUCAAAGGGUGGGGUUUGAGAUCGGGGGAAGGAAUGAGAAAGUAGAAGCAAUGUCACUUCAGUGCCACUGUUGACUAGUCUUUGGUGCUUAUGUCAGUAUUUGUUUUAUUUCCUGAUUUUUUUAAAGUUGGCAAAACUACAUAUUUUUAUCUUGAUGAAGGCAGUGGGAGGGUGGAACAAAAACAAGCCAUUACUGCUAUUUCUAGUUCAUUUACUGGAGACUGUCCCUUAAUAGCUAAUGUAGAAUAAAUUUGAAACAUAGACCUAGAUGACAAAAAGAAUGGGAAUAGAAAUGAAUCUCAGGAUUUGAACAAACAGAAGACGUUUAUGCUGUGUUGAUGCCCAGUUCUACAACUGCUAUUACAUUUGUCAUUCUGUCUCCCCUUUUCCCCUAAUUCUUUUAUGUAUGUAUGUAUACAGUUUGAGGAAAUGUGCAUCUAUGGUCAGUCCUUUUUAAAAGACUUAAUGAAUUUAUUACUCUUUUGCAAAAAAUAUACCCACUGCUUAUAUGGGCAUACAAAUGCUACCCUAUUUUAAAUGUAGGUGGCGUAUGUGUUCGUGUUUUAAUGUAUUCAGAGCCAUUGGGCAAUAAGCAGUCCAGAACAUUGAAAACUCAAGCAGGUAAAGCACCUAACACCCUUAGUUUCUAGAAUUACUUUAAAAAACUUUUAUAUUGCUGCAUCUUCCACAGUUCUUUGGGUAGUCUCUGAACUUAAAAUUUGUAGGAGUUGUAGACUACCUAAAUUUUUAAGUUAUGGUAUUUGUUCAUAGGUUGUAGGGGUAGGUAAAGAAGGAAACAGACAAGAAAAUGGCUUCUUGAGGUGGCAGCUGCUGAGUGGCUAAAUCUUACCACUUUCUUUCUACUUUUUUUGGAAAUUUUCCCAGCUUAGCAUGAACAUGGAUCAUACAGUGUUUGAUUUUAUGUGAUUGAGAUUUUUGUUUUUUAUUUUUGGAGGGAAGGUCUUGGAGAAACAUUAAAAAGUUGGUGUAUGUGCAAAAAUACGAAAUGUUAAACAAAGGAAUUUUUUCUUAUUUAAUCUGAAUGGUAAGCAAGAACUUUUUCUAUAUACCCUUCUGCUGCAGCAGACAACUAAACUGGUAGGUGGCAGCAGAGGAAGGAAUUCUUCAGAUUGAUGGCUACUGACUUAAAGUCUGCAUAGGAGAAGAGAUAGAGCAUGACAUACCAAGUGAAGCAAGGGGGACAAAAAUGGAAACAGGACUAAGAUUCCUGCAUUUUGACUCUAAAUGGUUCUUUUGAAGUAACCAGUGAUCUUUUUUGCUUACCCUCAUCAACAGAAUGGAUGAAGAUAGAUUUGACUGUGUGCUUUUUCAAGUGGAGAAUAUGAAUAUACAGAACAAGAAAGCAAUAACUCCAACCUGUUUGAUUCCGUCUGUUUUCUAAAUAAAGACACUAUGCGCUGGAAAUAACAUA